Molecule: transfer RNA, 73 nt
Filed under: Canis lupus familiaris (dog)
Lineage: Eukaryota; Metazoa; Chordata; Mammalia; Carnivora; Canidae
Also listed under: 1 other name
Rfam family: tRNA
About the family: Transfer RNA (tRNA) molecules are approximately 80 nucleotides in length.
Source: Rfam by way of RNAcentral
ACCUGGCCGGCUCAGUUGGAAGAGUGUGAAACUCUUAAUCUCAGUGUCGUGAGUUCAAGCCUUAUGUUGGGUG